CAAAGGUUUGGUCCUGGCCUUGUGGUCAGUUAUUACUUACUAUACACAUGCAAGUAUCCGCCCCCCUGUGAAAACGCCCUUCAACCCCCAUUAGGGACAAGGAGCCGGUAUCAGGCGCGAAAAUCCGCCCAAGACACCUAGCUAUGCCACACCCACAAGGGAAUUCAGCAGUGAUUAACAUUGAGCAUUAGCGCAAGCUUGACUCAGUUAAAGUAUAGAGAGCCGGCUAAUCUGGUGCCAGCCGCCGCGGUUACACCACGUGGCUCAAAUUGACCCCCUCCGGCGUAAAGCGUGAUUAAAGUUUCCACUUACUAGAGUUAAACUAAAACUAAGCUGUGACACGCCUGUUAUCAAGAAACCCAAAAACGAAAGUUACUCUAACACAACCAACUUGAACUCACGACAGCUGGG
Molecule: ribosomal RNA, 411 nt
Filed under: Bufo gargarizans (Asiatic toad)
Lineage: Eukaryota; Metazoa; Chordata; Amphibia; Anura; Bufonidae
Also listed under: 1 other name
Description: partial 12S ribosomal RNA
Source: RNAcentral